This 382-nucleotide RNase P RNA is filed under the name Nitrospirota bacterium. Its description in RNAcentral is "Nitrospirae bacterium (sediment metagenome) RNase P RNA component class A". It matches the Rfam family "Bacterial RNase P class A". From Rfam's summary of the family: Ribonuclease P (RNase P) is a ubiquitous endoribonuclease, found in archaea, bacteria and eukarya as well as chloroplasts and mitochondria. Its best characterised activity is the generation of mature 5'-ends of tRNAs by cleaving the 5'-leader elements of precursor-tRNAs. The record is from RNAcentral. Lineage: Bacteria; Pseudomonadati; Nitrospirota.
AAAGCAGACCAUGCGGCCGCCCUUGUCAACGCAGGGGAGGAAAGUCCGAGCUCCAUAGGGCAGGACGGUUGUUAACGGCAACCGGGGGUGACCCCAGGGAAAGUGCCACAGAAAAUACACCGCCCAAGCAACGCGUAUCUAUUUGGGUAAGGGUGAAAUAGUGAGGUAAGAGCUCACUGCUCCCUGUGGUGACACAGGGGACAGGUAAACCCCGUCCGGAGAAAGGUUGAAUAGGUCUCACUCCAGUCAGAGCACGCCCACUCUGUUGCCAUAAUGUCGGCAAGGUGAGACGGGUAGCAACCGCACAAGGCUGAUAGCAAUAUCAAAUGUCUUAGACGAAUGACCGCAUAAAACAGAACUCGGCUUACGGUCUGCUUUAAAC